Molecule: long non-coding RNA, 280 nt
Filed under: Setaria italica (foxtail millet)
Lineage: Eukaryota; Viridiplantae; Streptophyta; Magnoliopsida; Poales; Poaceae
Description: long non-coding RNA (SITA_LNC002305)
Source: RNAcentral
UUUGUCUCUGGGUGUCAUAUGAAUCUCGCUAGUUGUCCUUUUUUCUUAAUCACAGCUACCACCUGUUUCUCGACUUCCAAUACUACCCCCAGCCAUUAGUAUGAUCCCGCUACUUUAGGUUUUUCUGGUGAAAUUAAAGGAAGCACAUUUCUGAUUUCUCCCAAAGAGAAAAAAAAAAGGAAGGAUCGAUGUCAGCUUCAGUGACUAGACAAAGCCUUGAGGUUUCCUCGUGUCUCUUAUGUGCAUGGAUUAUAUUUAUGCGCGGGGAUGAAUCUUGCGU